This 441-nucleotide ribosomal RNA is filed under the name uncultured bacterium. RNAcentral describes it as "partial 16S ribosomal RNA". It matches the Rfam family "Bacterial small subunit ribosomal RNA", at positions 338 to 795 of the family's 1533-position model. The record is from RNAcentral.
CCUACGGGGGGCAGCAGUGGGGGAUAUUGCACAAUGGGGGGAACCCUGAUGCAGCGACGCCGCGUGGGUGAAGGAGCGUUUCGGCGCGUAAAGCCCUAUCGGCAGGGAAGAAGGAGGACGGUACCUGACUCAGAAGCCCCGGCUAACUACGUGCCAGCAGCCGCGGUACUACGUAGGGGGCAAGCGUUAUCCGGAUUUACUGGGUGUAAAGGGGGCGCAGACGACAGCGCAAGCCAGGAGUGAAAGCCCGGGGCCCAACCCCGAGACUGCUCUUGGAACUGCGCGGCUGGAGUGCAGGAGAGGCAGGCGGAAUUCCUGGUGUAGCGGUGAAAUGCGUAGAUAUCAGGAGGAACACCGGUGGCGAAGGCGGCCUGCUGGACUGCGACUGACGUUGAGGCCCGAAAGCGUGGGGAGCAAACAGGAUUAGAUACCCUUGUAGUC